Molecule: ribosomal RNA, 1372 nt
Filed under: metagenome
Description: bacterial LSU rRNA
Rfam family: Bacterial large subunit ribosomal RNA
Source: RNAcentral
AAAAUCCGUAGGAAUAAUGCUAGGAUGUGAUGCGGAGCGAAAUUUAGUAGCGAAGUAGCUGAUUUCACACUGUCGAGAAAAGUCUCUAUCGAGGUUAAAGGUGCCUGUACCGCAAACCGACACAGGUGGGUGAGGAGAGUAUCCUAAGGCCAGCCAGAGAACUGUUGUUAAGGAACUCGGCAAAAUGACCCCGUAACUUCGGGAGAAGGGGUGCCUGUCUUUGACAGGCCGCAGAGAAUAGGCCCAAGCGACUGUUUACCAAAAACACAGGUCUCUGCUAAGUCGCAAGACGAUGUAUAGGAGCUGACGCCUGCCCGGUGCUGGAAGGUUAAGGGGAUCUGUUAGAGCAAUCGAAGCAGUGAACUUAAGCCCCAGUAAACGGCGGCCGUAACUAUAACGGUCCUAAGGUAGCGAAAUUCCUUGUCGGGUAAGUUCCGACCCGCACGAAAGGCGUAACGAUUUGGGCACUGUCUCAACAACAGACUGGGUGAAAUUGUAAUACCGGUGAAGAUGCCGGUUACCUGCGACAGGACGGAAAGACCCCAUGGGGCUUUACUGUAGCUUGACAUUGGGUCUUGGUACUACAUGUACAGGAUAGGUGGGAGACUAUGAAGCCGGAACGCCAGUUUCGGUGGAGUCAUCCUUGGGAUACCACCCUUGUAGUACUGGGACUCUAACCAUAGGCCAUGAAUCUGGUCUUGGGACACUGUCAGGUGGGCAGUUUGACUGGGGCGGUCGCCUCCUAAAAAGUAACGGAGGCGCUCAAAGGUUCUCUCAGUACGGUCGGAAAUCGUACGUAGAGUGUAAAGGCACAAGAGAGCUUGAUUGCAAGACAUACAGGUCGAGCAAGGACGAAAGUCGGACUUAGUGAUCCGGUGGUUCCGCAUGGAAGGGCCAUCGCUCAACGGAUAAAAGCUACCCUGGGGAUAACAGGCUUAUCUCCCCCAAGAGUCCACAUCGACGGGGAGGUUUGGCACCUCGAUGUCGGCUCAUCACAUCCUGGGGCUGUAGUAGGUCCCAAGGGUUGGGCUGUUCGCCCAUUAAAGUGGUACGCGAGCUGGGUUCAGAACGUCGUGAGACAGUUCGGUCCCUAUCCGUCGCAGGCGUAGGAAAUUUGAGGAGACCUGUCCUUAGUAUGAGAGGACCGGGAUGGACGCACCGCUGGUGUACCAGUUGUUCUGCCAAGGGCAUAGCUGGGUAGCUAAGUGCGGAAUGGAUAAGCGCUGAAAGCAUCUAAGCGCGAAGCCGACUUCAAGAUAAGAUUUCCCACCGUAAGGGUAAGACCCCAGGAAGACUACCUGGUUGAUAGGUCGGAGGUGGAAGUGCAGUAAUGUAUGUAGCUUACCGAUACUAAUAGGUCGAGGACUUGACC